UACGUAGGCAGCAAGCGUUGUUCGGAAUUACUGGGCGUAAAGCGCGUGUAGGCUGCUCUGCAAGUCGGGUGCGAAAGCCCCGGGCUCAACCUGGGAAGUGCACUCGAAACUGCAGAGCUCGAGUCCUGGAGAGGAAGGCGGAAUUCUCGGUGUAGAGGUGAAAUUCGUAGAUAUCGAGAGGAACACCGGUGGCGAAGGCGGCCUUCUGGACAGUGACUGACGCUGAGACGCGAAAGCGUGGGGAGCAAACAGG
This 253-nucleotide ribosomal RNA is filed under the name uncultured bacterium. Its description in RNAcentral is "partial 16S ribosomal RNA". It matches the Rfam family "Bacterial small subunit ribosomal RNA", at positions 524 to 776 of the family's 1533-position model. The record is from RNAcentral.